GCUCAGCCYUAAACCCCAGUAGUCAACAUAACAWUGCUAUUCGCCAGAGUACUACUAGCAACAGCCUAAAACUCAAAGGACUUGGCGGUGCUUUAUAUCCCUCUAGAGGAGCCUGUUCUACAAUCGAUAAACCCCGAUAAACCUCACCAACCCUUGCUAAUACAGCCUAUAUACCGCCAUCCUCAGCAAACCCUAAAAAGGAUUAACAGUAAGCACAAACAUAAGACAUAAAAACGUUAGGUCAAGGUGUAGCCCAUGAGUUGGGAAGAAAUGGGCUACAUUUUCUAGCAUAGAACAUCAACGAAAACUUUCAUGAAAAUUGAAAAUAGAAGGAGGAUUUAGUAGUAAAUUAARAAUAGAGAGCUUAAUUGAAUAAGGCCAUGAAGCACGC
RNAcentral lists this ribosomal RNA (391 nucleotides) under Casinycteris argynnis (Golden short-palated fruit bat). RNAcentral's name for it is "partial small subunit ribosomal RNA". Lineage: Eukaryota; Metazoa; Chordata; Mammalia; Chiroptera; Pteropodidae. The record is from RNAcentral.